UCUCCGUCGCCCUCUCCAUGGGUUAGCCUCUCUUUUGUUUCGCUUGAAGGAAUCGAUCGCAAUUCGCACUCAAAGAGACAACACCGCUCUGUCGCUCCCUCCAUCAGGUUUGCUCUUUACGCCACGAAGCCAGAGCCAACUAGCUUCUCCAUCCCCCUCUCCAUGGGUUAGCCUCUCUAUCGUUUCACUCAAAGGAAUUGAUCACGAACGGGAGGGAUUCCUCCAUAAAUCGACUGAGUCGUGGACUCCAAAGUACUUGAUCUCUUCCUAUACAGGCUCGUGCUUGGUCACUCGGUGGAGAGAGUGGCGGAAACUGCGAUCAACCCUUGUGAUAACCAGGUUGAUCGUCAUUUUGCUAGCAAGUUUUGCUCGUAAAAAAUUGGAGUAUUACUAGGUUGAAUCAGAAGCAAUGAAUGAAAGUGACAGUGAUAAUAUUUCAUUGGAUUGGAGUGAUAGAGAACCAAAUAUAUCAUAUGAUGAAGAGUCGAUGACAAGUGAGAUGAUGAAAGAAUUCGAAGAAGCAAGAAUGGAGGAGGAGGAGGAGGAGGUAGAUGAUGGUCGAGCUUUAGUUGUAGGUUCCACCAAUAUACAAAGAGAGGAGGCUAAUGAUGAUCGAGAUUUAGUUUUAUGUAAAGACGGGGUAGCAGAUGAAGAUGCGGAUUCUGAAAAUGAAUCUCUAAGUGGACCUGAUAUCGAUGAUUUUGAAGAAACCCAUGGCAUAUCACGCCUAGUGGUUAAUAGGUAUGAUCCUAUGUGUGACCAUAAUGAGGAAGUGUUUAGCCUAGGUAUGAGAUUUGAAUCUCAUGAACAGUUCAAGAAUGCUGUGAGAAGGUAUGCCGUAAUUAAUGGAUUUGAUAUUUUUUGGCAAAAGAGUGAAUAUAAAAGAAUGGAAGCGAGGUGUGUAAGAGGAUGCGGUUGGAGAUUGUACGG
Molecule: long non-coding RNA, 930 nt
Organism: Syzygium oleosum
Lineage: Eukaryota; Viridiplantae; Streptophyta; Magnoliopsida; Myrtales; Myrtaceae
Exons: 3
Source: RefSeq, a predicted model, not a curated record